AUUGAACGCUGGCGGCAUGCCUUACACAUGCAAGUCGAACGGUAACGGGCCUUCGGGUGCCGACGAGUGGCGAACGGGUGAGUAAUACAUCGGAACGUGCCCGAUCGUGGGGGAUAACGAGGCGAAAGCUUUGCUAAUACCGCAUACGAUCUACGGAUGAAAGCAGGGGACCGCAAGGCCUUGCGCGGACGGAGCGGCCGAUGGCAGAUUAGGUAGUUGGUGGGAUAAAAGCUUACCAAGCCGACGAUCUGUAGCUGGUCUGAGAGGAUGAUCAGCCACACUGGGACUGAGACACGGCCCAGACUCCUACGGGAGGCAGCAGUGGGGAAUUUUGGACAAUGGGCGCAAGCCUGAUCCAGCCAUGCCGCGUGCAGGAUGAAGGCCUUCGGGUUGUAAGCUGCUUUUGUACGGAACGAAAAGCCUUCUUUUAAUACAGGAGGGUCAUGACGGUACCGUAAGAAUAAGCACCGGCUAACUACGUG
This 482-nucleotide ribosomal RNA is filed under the name uncultured bacterium. RNAcentral describes it as "partial 16S ribosomal RNA". It matches the Rfam family "Bacterial small subunit ribosomal RNA", at positions 30 to 507 of the family's 1533-position model. The record is from RNAcentral.